CGUAGGUGGCAAGCGUUGUCCGGAUUUAUUGGGUUUAAAGGGUGCGUAGGCGGUCUUGUAAGUCAGUGGUGAAAUACGGCAGCUUAACUGUCGAGGUGCCAUUGAUACUGCAGGACUUGAGUACAGACGAGGUAGGCGGAAUUGACGGUGUAGCGGUGAAAUGCUUAGAUAUCGUCAAGAACACCGAUAGCGAAGGCAGCUUACUAGACUGUAACUGACGCUGAUGCACGAAAGUGUGGGGAUCAAACAGGAUUAGAUACCCUGGUAGUCCACACUGUAAACGAUGAUUACUCAAUGUUGGCGAUACACAGCCAGCGUCUUAGCGAAAGCGAUAAGUAAUCCACCUGGGGAGUACGCCGGCAACGGUG
Molecule: ribosomal RNA, 368 nt
Filed under: uncultured organism
Description: bacterial SSU rRNA
Rfam family: Bacterial small subunit ribosomal RNA
Source: RNAcentral